Molecule: long non-coding RNA, 1705 nt
Organism: Polypterus senegalus (gray bichir)
Lineage: Eukaryota; Metazoa; Chordata; Cladistia; Polypteriformes; Polypteridae
Exons: 4
Source: RefSeq, a predicted model, not a curated record
AAGCUGGCUGGGCUUGAAAAAGACGUCCCGUCAGGAAAAAAAAAAUGUCCCGAAUCAGAGGCUUCUUGGUCUGGUCCAUUUGGCAGACAGCCCAGUGCAACGGUGCCCCCAGGUGUCUUCACCCUCGACUGCACACCUGGAGCAGACAGGUGGCACAGAAGCAAAGAAACAUUAGAAAAUGGACAUACGGGUCCCUACAAGAGAAAAAACAAAAAGAAACGCACGCAAGAAGGAUGGAGACUUCAUUAUCAGUUUUCCAAAAGGAGCUGGGAUGGCCUUUGAGUUUAUAGGAAGAAGAAGAAGAAGAAGAAGAUUAGAGUGCAUCCCACCAGGUUUGUCACACUUCAGGUUUGACACAUGAAGGUGGUCUGCUUCUUAGGAGCGCAGAGGAGAAAUCGGGGAGCAGCGCCGCAGUCACAGGAAUUACUGUUGGCAGAGGAGGACGCAAAAACUGAAACAGAGGCAACUCAAACCAUUAAAGAAAAGGCUCGAUUGAUAGGCAGACUUGUGAGGAGCAGCAAGACGAAAAUAGAGCGCCUUUCAUAGCGAAGGUGUUUGAAAAAGGCAGACAUGGGGUCAGCGAUGCAAGUCCACCUCCGUAAUGUGCAAUACCACGUGGCACUCGCCAUUGUAGGCCCCGCGGUGUACUGGUUAAGGCUUGAGACCCUGAAGUUGUGGUUUCAAAUCCCACUAAUGACACUACUGGGUAAGGGGUCGGCCGUUACAAUGUGACCCUGAGCACGUCACUUCACCUGACUGCGCUCCAAUCGGAAAAACGACACAACGGUAACCAUUUGUGUCUCAGAUGUCGUGAGUUACCUUGGGUCAAGAUGGCAGCCAAAUAAUAAACCGUAAUACUAGUGUGGGCCUUUGCAUGCUGCAUAUGUGAAAGGAACUGCAACAGCAGAUUUGAUGGUGCAGUCGAGGAACUUUACAUUUCAGACAUUUCAGACAUUUCAGACAUGACACAUCCUGAGUUUCUAAGAGAAGCUCUUCCAGAUUCUGAGAUGGGUGCCCAAGCACUGCUGGGUGGCACAGGAACUCGGCGCAGGACAGCCAGGUUAGCUUGGCGGACCUGUGAGUCAUCCAUUUGUAUUAUGAGAAGGAGAGGCAGGGAGGAAAAGAAGAAGACGACAACUCAGCUAUUGUUCAGCUAUUGUUUCAUUGUGUGUGCUGAAUUUAAAAUCCGUCCUUGAAUCAGCGUAGCAGAGAGUGGCCUGAGCUCUUCAGGUGAGCCGCAGCCUGGUGGCACUAAGUUCUAAUGGAGGACUUCACAUGGCAGGGCCACACGGCACAAGCUUCAAAGUCACCAUUCUGAGUCAUCAAACAUCGGCCAUUUUGCCACCAGUUUAUUAUCUUCAAAAUAUUCAAAUGUUCUCUGCGAAUUAAUGGUUAACUGCGCAUAAAUGGCGAUUGAUGGAUAAUAAAGACGACGAAAACCCAUCUGGACUGGACGGGCGAGCAUCUUGGGCUGAAAGGCCUGCUCUCCUCCAACUGAAUGGUCAAACAACAGACCCCCCAAAAAAGGCUCUGCUGAGCCCCUAGUGGUGAACACUUGACGUGCAUUAGAAAAAGAACUGAGGGGGAAACUGGGGAUUGUGCUUCUGGCGUUGGUGUACACAUGAAAAGAGCAGCUAGGCUGUUCGGCAUAUUGACAAACAUACAGGUAGUUCUUCUUUGAAAUAGUUCAUUUUCUUUCUAUUUA